UACAGAGGUCUCGAGCGUUGUUCGGAUUCAUUGGGCGUAAAGGGUGUGUAGGUGGCGCGCUAAGUCGGGUGUGAAAUUUCGGAGCUUAACUCCGAAACUGCAUUCGAUACUGGCGUGCUUGAGGACUGGAGAGGAGACUGGAAUUCAUGGUGUAGCAGUGAAAUGCGUAGAGAUCAUGAGGAAGACCAGUGGCGAAGGCGGGUCUCUGGACAGUUCCUGACACUGAGACACGAGGGCCAGGGGAGCAAACGGG
Molecule: ribosomal RNA, 253 nt
Filed under: uncultured bacterium
Lineage: Bacteria
Description: partial 16S ribosomal RNA
Rfam family: Bacterial small subunit ribosomal RNA
Source: RNAcentral